This 253-nucleotide ribosomal RNA is filed under the name uncultured bacterium. Its description in RNAcentral is "partial 16S ribosomal RNA". It matches the Rfam family "Bacterial small subunit ribosomal RNA", at positions 524 to 776 of the family's 1533-position model. The record is from RNAcentral.
GACGAACCGUGCGAACGUUGUUCGGAAUCACUGGGCUUAAAGGGCGCGUAGGCGGGCCUUCAAGUCCGGGGUGAAAGCCUCCAGCCUAACUGGAGAAGAGCCUCGGAGACUGAGGGCCUCGAGGGAGGUAGGGGCAAGCGGAACUAUGGGUGGAGCGGUGAAAUGCAUUGAUAUCCAUAGGAACUCCGGUGGCGAAGGCGGCUUGCUGGACCUCUUCUGACGCUGAGGCGCGAAAGCCAGGGGAGCAAACGGG